AGUGAACGCUGGCGGUAGGCCUAACACAUGCAAGUCGAACGGCAGCACAGUAAGAGCUUGCUCUUACGGGUGGCGAGUGGCGGACGGGUGAGGAAUACAUCGGAAUCUACUUUUUCGUGGGGGAUAACGUAGGGAAACUUACGCUAAUACCGCAUACGACCUACGGGUGAAAGCAGGGGAUCUUCGGACCUUUCGCGAUUGAAUGAGCCGAUUUCGGAUUAGCUAGUUGGCGGGGUAAAGGCCCACCAAGGCGACGAUCCGUAGCUGGUCUGAGAGGAUGAUCAGCCACACUGGAACUGAGACACGGUACAGACUCCUACGGGAGGCAGCAGUGGGGAAUAUUGGACAAUGGGCGCAAGCCUGAUCCAGCCAUACCGCGUGGGUGAAGAAGGCCUUCGGGUUGUAAAGCCCUUUUGUUGGGAAAGAAAAGCAGCAGGUUAAUACCCCGCUGUUCUGACGGUACCCAAAGAAUAAGCACCGGCUAACUUCGUG
Molecule: ribosomal RNA, 492 nt
Filed under: uncultured bacterium
Lineage: Bacteria
Description: partial 16S ribosomal RNA
Rfam family: Bacterial small subunit ribosomal RNA
Source: RNAcentral